RNAcentral lists this ribosomal RNA (483 nucleotides) under uncultured bacterium. Its description in RNAcentral is "partial 16S ribosomal RNA". It matches the Rfam family "Bacterial small subunit ribosomal RNA", at positions 30 to 507 of the family's 1533-position model. The record is from RNAcentral.
UUGCACGCUGGCGGCAGGCCUAACACAUGCAAGUCGAGCGGAUGAAGGGAGCUUGCUCCUGGAUUCAGCGGCGGACGGGUGAGUAAUGCCUAGGAAUCUGCCUGGUAGUGGGGGAUAACGUCCGGAAACGGGCGCUAAUACCGCAUACGUCCUGAGGGAGAAAGUGGGGGAUCUUCGGACCUCACGCUAUCAGAUGAGCCUAGGUCGGAUUAGCUAGUUGGUGGGGUAAAGGCCUACCAAGGCGACGAUCCGUAACUGGUCUGAGAGGAUGAUCAGUCACACUGGAACUGAGACACGGUCCAGACUCCUACGGGAGGCAGCAGUGGGGAAUAUUGGACAAUGGGCGAAAGCCUGAUCCAGCCAUGCCGCGUGUGUGAAGAAGGUCUUCGGAUUGUAAAGCACUUUAAGUUGGGAGGAAGGGCAGUAAGUUAAUACCUUGCUGUUUUGACGUUACCAACAGAAUAAGCACCGGCUAACUUCGUG